RNAcentral lists this ribosomal RNA (253 nucleotides) under uncultured bacterium. Its description in RNAcentral is "partial 16S ribosomal RNA". It matches the Rfam family "Bacterial small subunit ribosomal RNA", at positions 524 to 776 of the family's 1533-position model. The record is from RNAcentral.
UACGGAGGGUGCAAGCGUUGUCCGGAAUCACUGGGCGUAAAGGGCGCGUAGGCGGCUCAUGAAGGCUGUGGUGAAAGUCCGGGGCUCAACCUCGGAUCGGCCGUGGCGACUCGUGGGCUGGAGCACUGUAGAGGAGAGUGGAAUUCCCGGUGUAGCGGUGAAAUGCGCAGAUAUCGGGAAGAACACCCGUGGCGAAGGCGGCUCUCUGGGACGGUACUGACGCUGAGACGCGAAAGCGUGGGGAGCGAACAGG